UAGCUUGUCGGAGGUGGUUUUGUUGUGUGAGUGUGGCGGCGGAAGGUAAGGGAUACGAUGGAGGUUCCAGGAUGUGGUUUAAGGCCACUUGGUCAAAGUUUAUGAGUGGCUACAGUGAGGGUUUUAAAGUGGAUGAGUUGAAGUAAAUUAACAGCGGAAGUUUAAUAAGUGAGUUUUUUUUAAGAAAUUUGAAGGAGUGAAGGUGUUGUUUGUGGUGAUAACUUGGUGGUAAAAUGUGGUGUAUGGUUGUUGUGUUUCCACUCUUUCUAAGGUGGUGAGAAUCCAACCUCAAAAUCUUAGCAUAUCCUUAAGAUUUAG
Molecule: long non-coding RNA, 318 nt
Filed under: Lathyrus oleraceus (garden pea)
Lineage: Eukaryota; Viridiplantae; Streptophyta; Magnoliopsida; Fabales; Fabaceae
Description: Pisum sativum (pea) long non-coding RNA (PSAT_LNC011330)
Source: RNAcentral